ACGUUGAAGAACAAUAAGGACCACCCACAUCCCUAUGCUGUUAACCCACGAAGUCUACAGAAUGCAGCUUGCCGAUCCUAACGACAAUCCCAACGACAAGAAAGCACGCACCAAGUCUAUUAAGAUGGCUCCCUUCCCACUCUUCAGAGCUCCUGGCUAAUGAUUUUGUCCUUCUUUCACUUAUAUAACUUCAAGAGCUGGACACUGAAUGUUUCUGCCUCAUCAUGCUGAUUUUCAGGCAAACCCCUAUCGUUCUGUGAUAGCUAUUCUGUACCCUAAUCACUCUGAGAUCGGCUUUCAUCUCAGGGUGUGGUUUGUGGUAGAAAACAACAAGAAUAAUUAUUGCCUAUGCAAAUUCUUGAUACUAUAGCUUUGUUCUUUAGGGUUUGCUCAGGGAAAGUUUAAGAAAGCGCCUGCGGAAAUCUCAGCUGAAUGAGGAUUUCAAGGUCUAUGCACUGGGACUCACUCACUUAGCGCCCUGUAGAGGGCGCCUGAAAUUACAGGCAAGCUUCUUCCGCAUAGGACCCCCUUACAACCUCACAUCUCUUUCUUUCAUUUUAUGGCCUGUUAGGAAGCAAUUGGAAGCGUUGAGUGGGGGAAGCUCAUCUUAGUAGUGAGUCAAGUGUUUAAUCAGACAUUGUUCCGUGGUGGUGGUAACUCGAUGAAAGAAAUAGCAGCCCGUUUUUAAGUACUAUAAUUGCUUUAACACUUUUUUUCAGCAGAUGACGUGAUUUCUUAUUGCUGGCCCCCAAGUCUCUUAACUCUCACCUUGUUGAUAAACUCUUAAUUCAGUGCUAGAGUUAAUGUCACAAGAGGUAUUAGGUGGCUACUUCAGUAAUGAAAUGGAUCUUUGAACGGGAAAAUAACAUAUGCCAACCCCAUAUAUGUUAUUUUAUUUUAUAUCUUAUUUAUUUAUUUAUUUAUUAAUUUAUUAUGUAUGUGAAUAGAUUGUCGCUCUCUUCAGACACACCAGAAGGCGGCGCUGGAUCCCAUUACAGAUGGUUGUGAGACACCAUGUGGUUCCUGGGAAUUGAACACGGGAGCUCUGGAAGAGCAAAAUCCGUGCUUAAGGACCUUGAUGGGCACCCAAAGGAGUUAUCUCAUCAGUUUCUUAAGUAUUCUGGUUUAUAUUAUUCUUCCUGUAUUAAAGGUCACCAGGAAAAACCAGAACUAAAACAGUAAA
Non-coding RNA from Rattus norvegicus (Norway rat), 1183 nucleotides. Lineage: Eukaryota; Metazoa; Chordata; Mammalia; Rodentia; Muridae. The record is from RefSeq and is a predicted model, not a curated record.